UACGGAGGGUGCUAACGUUGCUCGGAAUUACUGGGCGUAAAGGGAGCGCAGGCGGAUUUGUAAGUCAGGCGUGAAAGCCCAAGGCUCAACCUUGGACGUGCGCUUGAAACUGCGAAUCUAGAGUGCAGCAGAGAGAAGCGGAAUUCCUGGUGUAGCGGUGAAAUGCGUUGAUAUCAGGAGGAACACCUGUAGCGAAGGCGGCUUCUUGGGCUGUUACUGACGCUCAUGCUCGAAAGCGUCGGGGAUCAAACAGG
Molecule: ribosomal RNA, 254 nt
Filed under: uncultured bacterium
Lineage: Bacteria
Description: partial 16S ribosomal RNA
Rfam family: Bacterial small subunit ribosomal RNA
Source: RNAcentral